Molecule: ribosomal RNA, 429 nt
Filed under: Pseudomonadota bacterium
Lineage: Bacteria; Pseudomonadati; Pseudomonadota
Description: Proteobacteria bacterium partial 16S ribosomal RNA
Rfam family: Bacterial small subunit ribosomal RNA
Source: RNAcentral
UGGGGAAUAUUGGACAAUGGGCGAAAGCCUGAUCCAGCCAUGCCGCGUGUGUGAAGAAGGUCUUCGGAUUGUAAAGCACUUUAAGUUGGGAGGAAGGGCAGUAAGCGAAUACCUUGCUGUUUUGACGUUACCGACAGAAUAAGCACCGGCUAACUCUGUGCCAGCAGCCGCGGUAAUACAGAGGGUGCAAGCGUUAAUCGGAAUUACUGGGCGUAAAGCGCGCGUAGGUGGUUCGUUAAGUUGAAUGUGAAAGCCCCGGGCUCAACCUGGGAACUGCAUCCAAAACUGGCGAGCUAGAGUAGGGCAGAGGGUGGUGGAAUUGCCUGUGUAGCGGUGAAAUGCGUAGAUAUAGGAAGGAACGCCAGUGGCGAAGGCGACCACCUGGGCUCGUACUGACACUGAGGUGCGAAAGCGUGGGGAGCAAACAGG